Molecule: long non-coding RNA, 714 nt
Organism: Brassica oleracea var. oleracea
Lineage: Eukaryota; Viridiplantae; Streptophyta; Magnoliopsida; Brassicales; Brassicaceae
Exons: 2
Source: RefSeq, a predicted model, not a curated record
UCAACGUUAGGAUCUCCUACCCCGACAUAGAGCUUCCCCGGAGUGGCUCUAGCACAUUUCAGGAGAUAAUCUGUGCCCCAACGGAUGUUCUCACGUGCGUUUUUGAGCUCAGGACCCAUCCGCUUACCGUACUCAAGCGUGCUCCAUGAAAGCAUCGUGGUGGUAAACGCCAUUGGGAAAUUGAACUUGAUGUUGUCUCCCGCAUCGUAAUACCCACCAGGUGUACAUGAGCGGUUGAACCAUCAGAAAGGCCGGAGCUAGCCCUCCAGGAGACUUGUUGGUCUCUAGGGAGACGACCAGAUCGCUGACCUUGGAAGAAGAGCAAUGACUUGGAGAGAGCUUCUCUGUAAUUUGGAUUAGCUUCAACAUUUCUCGUGAGAAGAGGCGAGGAAAGGAGAACUAAGAAGAACAGAGAAGUCAUUGUCCAGAGACGGAGAAGUUGAUUACUUUAUGAGUUUUGAGGUACGAAUCUAUGAUGUGAAGGUCCACAUAUUUAUAUACAGGGAAAGUGUGAGAGAGAGGGAUUUGAUCCGGCGCUGAUGGAAGCGAUGAAUACGGCUUUUUUGGAGAAAGUGGCCUUAAUUAACCUUAAUUUCUCCAAUCUAACAUCUUUUUCUGGUUAAAUGCUUAAUUUAUCCGACCGAAUCCCCUUUUUCUUUAACUGUCUCUACUGAUUACAUUUUGUUUAUCCAUUUAAAUUCCUCUUUUUAUGUC